RNAcentral lists this ribosomal RNA (253 nucleotides) under uncultured prokaryote. RNAcentral's name for it is "partial 16S ribosomal RNA". It matches the Rfam family "Bacterial small subunit ribosomal RNA", at positions 524 to 776 of the family's 1533-position model. The record is from RNAcentral.
UACGGAGAGUGCAAGCAUUAAUCGGAAUUAUUGGGCGUAAAGGGCGCGUAGGCGGAAAGAUAAGUCAGAUGUGAAAUACCAAAGCUCAACUUUGGUGCUGCAUUUGAAACUAUCAUUCUAGAGGGUUGACGGAGAAAACGGAAUUCCACGUGUAGCGGUGAAAUGCGUAGAUAUUGGGAGGAACACCAGUGGCGAAGGCGGCUCACUGGACCGGUACUGACGCUGAUGCGCGAAAGCGUGGGGAGCAAACGGG